RNAcentral lists this transfer RNA (72 nucleotides) under hydrothermal vent metagenome. RNAcentral's name for it is "tRNA-Val-GAC". It matches the Rfam family "tRNA". Rfam says of the family: Transfer RNA (tRNA) molecules are approximately 80 nucleotides in length. The record is from RNAcentral.
GCUCGAUUAACUCAGUGGUAGAGUACUACCUCGACAAGGUAGGAGUCACUGGUUCAAAUCCAGUAUCGAGCA